UCAGCAUCGUAAGGCAUCUAGCUAAGACAACUCAGAGAAGUGCUGAUAUAUUGGACAUAUUGUGUUGUUAUAUUUCUUCUAAUAACUGUUAUCGAAAAAUAAAUUCAGAAACAGCAUUCGAUUAAAAAAAACAAAGAUGACCUUCAAAUCUUAGGAAUCACCUGAAAAAAAGCGUUACCACCGCAAGGAUUACUUCUGCACCAUUAACAUCCUCUGACAAAGUUGAUAACGCGAGAAACGAGCUGGAGCAUCAACAGUAAGUAAUAGUGCAAUCGGGAAAGCUCUUAGGAAAAUAUGGUUGCGCUCGAAAAUGAACCUGGAAUCAGACAGUCCGUUACUAA
RNAcentral lists this unclassified non-coding RNA (341 nucleotides) under Harpegnathos saltator (Jerdon's jumping ant). RNAcentral describes it as "uncharacterized LOC112588943, transcript variant X1". The record is from RNAcentral. Lineage: Eukaryota; Metazoa; Arthropoda; Insecta; Hymenoptera; Formicidae.